Molecule: long non-coding RNA, 1029 nt
Organism: Manis pentadactyla (Chinese pangolin)
Lineage: Eukaryota; Metazoa; Chordata; Mammalia; Pholidota; Manidae
Exons: 5
Source: RefSeq, a predicted model, not a curated record
CAAAAUCGCACAUACUGGUGGCUUUGUCUCUCUCACAGUUCUGGUGGCUGGAAAUCCAACAUCAGCAUGCCAGCAGGUGACACUGAAUGCCUGGGACUCCAUAAACUUCCUGCCUAAACAGCCUGUACCCACUUCCAGGACCUGCAAGGCCCUUUCCCCUUUGACCUCUCCCUGCUGAAGUACCACCGUGGGACUCCCCUCCCCAUGAGGUGGCCAGCGGGUGGCGGUCUGGAUUCGGAGGAAGAAUGGUCGGAAUUUUUAAAGUGCUGGCCGGGUGUCCACAGACAUGGGCACAAGGGGGAAUCUGGGAGAGAAGAGAGCUGGUUCUGGCCACGCCACCGUGUUCCGGCACCAUGCUGAGAAGUGCAAGAAUUCUACGGGCAACGCAGCCUCACCUUCCAGGUUAUUAAGAAGGUACAGGUGUGAAGGUUCUUGUUCUCAAUGGAUAGUUGAGAUACGUCUUUUUUUUAUGUGCAACUACUAUGUGCCAGAAGUUCCAGCAAGUAGAACUUCACCUUGAGAUGGAAUUGUGUUCUCCAUAAAAGCAAACCGAAGAGCCACACUGGGUAAAGGGCUUUGUGGCCUGAACUGGAAUCCUGUCCAUGCUAAGUUUGGUGCUUCCAUAGGCUGGACUUAACAGGAAGUGGACAAGCAAGGCAAUCCAGAUGAUUUCAUUCUUAGCGGUCAGCCUCUGGGAGGAGAGCAAAUGGAUAUCAGUGGGAUUAGAGGAAACAGAAUUACCAAGUAAAUAAUUGCAGACAGCACUGCAAGCAGAGGGAGCAGUAUGUACAGAGGCAGUGAGGUGUGAAAGACCAAAAAUUGUUGAGAAGCAGUCUGGAGUGCAUUGUUGUCAAACCAGCUAAGAUUGGGUCAUUGGUAGAAGGAUUACAUAUCAAGCUCUGAGGCCUUUGGAAUUGUUUUUUGGGCAGGGAGUAGUAACAGUUCAGGGCAGAGAUGAAGAAAGAUUUGCUAAAUUAGUUGCAGAGAAAAAGGCAAGGUAUUUGGGACAUUUAUUUAAAAAACGUGAUA